GAGGCAGGAGGAUUGCUUGAGCCUGGGAGGUUGAGGCUGCAGUAAGCUGUGAUCGUACCAUUGCACUCCAGCCUGGGUGACAGAGCAAGAUCCUGUCUCA
RNAcentral lists this microRNA precursor (100 nucleotides) under Chlorocebus sabaeus (green monkey). RNAcentral's name for it is "miRNA (ENSCSAG00000025822.1)". Lineage: Eukaryota; Metazoa; Chordata; Mammalia; Primates; Cercopithecidae. The record is from RNAcentral.